UCAAGCUAAUAAGAGCGCAGGGUGGAUGCCUUGGCACUAAGAGCCGAUGAAAGACGUGAUAAGCUGCGAAAAGCUUCGGGGAGGAGCAAAUAUCCUUUGAUCCGGAGAUAUCUGAAUGGGGAAACCCGGCUGAGUAACCCUCAGUCACCAUAACGUAAAUACAUAGCGUUAUGGAGGGAACCCGGUGAACUGAAACAUCUAAGUAGCCGGAGGAAGAGAAAGAAACAUCGAUUCCGGAAGUAGCGGCGAGCGAACCCGGAAGAGCCCAAACCAGUGUGCGUGCAUGCUGGGGUUAAGGACUGCAUAAGUGAGCCGAUCUGUUAAUGGAACUGCCUGGGAAGGCAGGCCAGAGAGGGUGAAAGCCCCGUACAUGAAAACGGUAGGCAGCGGCAGGAUCCAGAGUACCGCGAGACACGAGAAACCUUGCGGGAAGUCGGAGGGACCACCCUCCAAGGCUAAAUACUCCUUAGUGACCGAUAGCGCAUAGUACUGUGAAGGAAAGGUGAAAAGGACCCCGGGAGGGGAGUGAAAGAGAACCUGAAACCCUGUGUUUACAAGCUGUGGGAGCACGUUAAGGUGCAACCGCGUACUUUUUGUAGAACGGUCCGGCGAGUUGCCGGUGCUGGCAAGGUUAAAUGGUACAGCCAUGGAGCCGAAGGGAAACCAAGUCUCAAAUGGGCGUAAAGUCAGCACAGGCAGACCCGAAACCGGGUGACCUAUCCAUGUCCAGGAUGAAGCGGAAGUAAAAUUCCGUGGAGGUCCGGAUCCACAUCCGUUGAAAAGGGUGGGAAUGAGGUGUGGAUAGGGGAGAAAUUCCAAUCGAACCCGGAGAUAGCUGGUUCUCCUCGAAAUAGCUUUAGGGCUAGCCCCGUAUUAGUUUAGCGGAGGUAGAGCACUGAAUUCCUAAGGGGGCGUCAAAGCUUACCAAGGGAUAUCAAACUCCGAAUGCCGCAUAAAUGAUGUACGGGAGUCAGACUGCACGAGAUAAGUUGGGCAGUCAAAAGGGAAAGAGCCCAGACCUACAGCUAAGGUCCCAAAGUGUGUGUUAAGUGGAAAAGGAUGUGGGAUUUCAGAGACAACUAGGAUGUUGGCUUAGAAGCAGCCACACAUUCAAAGAGUGCGUAAUAGCUCACUAGUCGAGAGGUCCUGCGCCGAAAAUGUCCGGGGCUAAAACACAACACCGAAGCUUAGGAAUGUAGAAAUACAUUGGUAGAGGAGCAUUCUUAAAGGAAUGAAGCAGUACCGGUAAGGAGCUGUGGACUUUUAAGAAGAGAGAAUGCCGGAAUGAGUAGCGAGAUGGAGGUGGGAAUCCUCCAGGCCGAAUAUCCAAGGUUUCCAGAGUAAAGCUGAUCUGCUCUGGGUAAGUCGGGGCCUAAGGUAAGGCUGAGAAGCGUAGCCGAUGGACAACAGGUUGAGAUUCCUGUACCGCGUAUCAUCAGAACUGUGGGGACACAGAAGGACAGCACAUCCCGGGAAUGGAAAGACCGGGGCAAGCAGGGUAGGAGUUAAGCUGGCAAAUCCGCUUAACAAUCCGAAGCUGUGAUGCGGAGCGAAUUUAAGUAGCGAAGUGUGCGAUUCCGGCUGUCAAGAAAAGCCGCUAUUGUGUGAUACGUGCCCGUACCGUAAACCGACACAGGUAGAUGAGGAGAGAAUCCUAAGGCCGGCGGGAGAAGCAUUGUUAAGGAACUCGGCAAAAUGACCCUGUAACUUCGGGAGAAAGGGUGCCUGGGAAACCAGGCCGCAGAGAAUAGGCUCAAGCAACUGUUUAGCAAAAACACAGGUCUAUGCAAAACCGUAAGGUGAGGUAUAUGGGCUGACGCCUGCCCGGUGCUGGAAGGUUAAGAGGAGGGGUUAGCGCAAGCGAAGCUCUGAAUUGAAGCCCCAGUAAACGGCGGCCGUAACUAUAACGGUCCUAAGGUAGCGAAAUUCCUUGUCGGGUAAGUUCC
This 1946-nucleotide ribosomal RNA is filed under the name human gut metagenome. RNAcentral's name for it is "bacterial LSU rRNA". It matches the Rfam family "Bacterial large subunit ribosomal RNA", at positions 3 to 1984 of the family's 2925-position model. The record is from RNAcentral.